UUCCGGUUGAUCCCGCCGGACCUGACUGCUAUCGGAUUGAUACUAAGCCAUGCGAGUCAUUGUAGCAAUACAAGGCAGACGGCUCAGUAACGCGUAGUCAACCUAACCUAUGGACGGGAAUAACCUCGGGAAACUGAGAAUAAUGCCCGAUAGAACACUAUACCUGGAAUGGUUUGUGUUCCAAAUGAUUUAUCGCCGUAGGAUGGGACUGCGGCCUAUCAGUUUGUUGGUGAGGUAAUGGCCCACCAAGACUAUUACAGGUACGGGCUCUGAGAGGAGUAGCCCGGAGAUGGGUACUGAGACACGGACCCAGGCCCUAUGGGGCGCAGCAGGCGAGAAAACUUUGCAAUGUGCGAAAGCACGACAAGGUUAAUCCGAGUGGUUUGUGCUAAACGAACCUUUUGUUAGUCCUAGAAACACUAACGAAUAAGGGGUGGGCAAGUUCUGGUGUCAGCCGCCGCGGUAAAACCAGCACCUCAAGUGGUCAGGAUGAUUAUUGGGCCUAAAGCAUCCGUAGCCGGCUCUGUAAGUUUUCGGUUAAAUCUGUACGCUUAACGUACAGGCUGCCGGGAAUACUGCAGAGCUAGGGAGUGGGAGAGGUAGACGGUACUCGGGAGGAAGGGGUAAAAUCCUUUGAUCUCUCGAUGACCACCU
Molecule: ribosomal RNA, 654 nt
Filed under: uncultured archaeon
Lineage: Archaea
Description: bacterial SSU rRNA
Rfam family: Archaeal small subunit ribosomal RNA
Source: RNAcentral